CUCUGCGUGAUAGGGAGUGGAAGGAAAAGACUUUAAGGAGUAGCUGCACUGCUGAGGACAAGUUUGGGGCUCUGUUUGCUGAAGGUGUUGAAUAAAUCACUAUGAUCUCCAGUCCCAUGGGAGACCACAAUGGAGAAGACAGCCAUGGAAACUUAGACCUGAAUUUAACUCUGGCGACCAGAGCUUUGAGAAUGUGGGCUAUGUAUUACCAAAUCUUUAUCAUUUUGAGAUCUGAGAGUCAGAAGAUACCAGGCACCUUUGAAUAGACAGAGUAGAUGUGUUGUGCCAAAGCUGAGAAGACCUUUCCAGAUCGAUAUCUCCUUGCACCUACAUCUUACAGAACGUGGAUUUCAGAACAUGGUGUCGGGACAUCCCAGGUCUGUGAGGAGAGGGCAGUGGCUGGCAAGGCUGCCCCAUGUUACACAGAUUGACCAAACAUAGCUGAGUGCUGGGCCUGCCUACCUCAAAGGUGACCUUGAGGUUUGUUGAAGAUGCCUCUGGUAAGUUUAAGCAGACAAAUUACUUCAUGUGGUUGCUAGUAUAAUGACAGGCUUAGAACAAGAAAAUGCGGGAGUGCACUUGAAAUGAAUGCUUUGCUCUGGGGAGAAAAGUGCUUUGAACAGUUGUAUGAAGUGUAAAUGACUUGGGGAAUUGGAGGAUCCAUAGGUGACUUGGAGUGUGGUUUUCUGUUGGGAUUUCUGUCAAACCUGUUAAUUUUGUAAUUCUUUUGACUCUUGCUGAAAGCAGCCUGAGAGGGAAAUAGCAACAAUUUUCCAUGAAAUGUGACAUUCUGAAAUAUCAAGUUGUUAGUUGAAACACAUGAUUUGCAUGAAAGGUAUAAUUCCUCUGCCACUUCUCUCAUAAAAAUGUCAUAGAAAUUUAAUUGCAAAAGUAUUAGCAGCUAAGAGCUGGAAUCAAAAAUCUUGGGGUGCAGCAGAGGGGGAAGGACGAUUCUUUCUGUAGGCCGUUUACACAAUAUAUAGCACCUUCUGUCUGCAGGUCUGGUUUCUGUCAUAUGAGCCCUGCUAAAACAAAAUCAGCUGUUUCUAUUUGAUCUCUGAACUUCAUUAACUGUUUCCACCAUGACGACUGUGGACGGUACUUUUAGCAGCAUAAAGUGUCUGAGCUCUUAAGUGGUACAAAAAGACAGAAAUGCAGCCAAGAGAUGGAGCAUGCUUUCUGAGAUCUCUUCUGUGGAGGACAUAGCUGGAUCUGACAGGUUCUUUCUUGCAGGUGGUUCCUAUCUAUGUGUGUGCAAAAGACUUAAUUUUUUUGUCUAGUUCUGUCUUAACUUUUUCAUGAAAUAUAGUAAAAAUUAUUUGCUAUAAGCUUAUGUUUAUUCAUUAUACCAGUUUCAGCAAGAAUCAAAUGUCUGAAAAUUCUGAAGUACACAGUAACUGACCCAACUUUACCUACACCCUCUGAAGCUGCUGGUAGCCAAAGAGGAUGUGUGUGGUUAAUGCUUUGCUUGGGUAUAGCUGUGUUGUUGGUUUGGUUAAAACUGUGUGGCAAUACUGUGAGACAGGUAAAACUAGAUGCUUCAGAUUCUCAACUUGUGCUUUGCAUCCAGGAAGACCCAAUGUCUUGCUUAAGCACUGCUUGCAAGCUCUCUGUACUAAGUUGUGGGAUGAGCCUCCAGCAGAACUCUUCAGUGGUUAUAGUGAUGAUCAGUAGGAUCUCAGAGGUAAGGAGUAACUGAUGAGUGUAAAUGUAAAGUGGACUGAUGGCACUGUUGGAAUUGGUACAACUAUGAAGCUUAUUGUACAGAGGUUUGAUUCCAUGGAUUAAGGGAGAAGAGUGUCUAGAAAUGCCCUAGACAUUGCUUAAGGA
Anas platyrhynchos (mallard) is the source of this 1830-nucleotide non-coding RNA. The record is from RefSeq and is a predicted model, not a curated record. Lineage: Eukaryota; Metazoa; Chordata; Aves; Anseriformes; Anatidae.